This is a long non-coding RNA of Mustela erminea (ermine), 2016 nucleotides long. RefSeq lists it as uncharacterized. The record is from RefSeq and is a predicted model, not a curated record. Lineage: Eukaryota; Metazoa; Chordata; Mammalia; Carnivora; Mustelidae. The transcript is spliced from 2 exons.
UAUGACCUGAGCCAAAGGCAGAUGCUUAACGACCGAGCCACCCAGGCACUACCUAGCCCACAGCUUUUAAGAACAAGUGGAUAAUGUUGUAUCUAGCUCUUCACAUCCAUAUUUAGUGAAAAGUCUUCUGCCUUACUCCGAAGGAAACAAUUUCCCUUUGCCCUGGGGUAGGGAAGUGGAAAGACCGAGUCAGUGCUAAGAGGCAGUUGGGCAGGGCACCGUGGGCCUUGGGACCAUGGCCUGGUGUGAACGGCAGGGGGACGGCCCAAGGACACCUCCUGGCUGUGCCGUGGCCUUUGGAGAAUCCCUGAAGGUUGUUUCCUGGCCCUGCUCUGCCUUCAGUCUUUGUCUUCUCCUUGCCCCAGAUGGGUGUGUCAGAUUUCUAGGGCAUCUGAUGCCUUCCCAAUGGUGAAAAAACUGCCCCAGAACAGCAUAAGGUCAAAGAAUAAGCUUCCUUAUGCUUUUCUGCUCACCUAUUUCCUAAGAAACAUGGUGCUCCAAUUAGGAGUGUGCCCUAAGGUCUCUAGGGAAGAAGAGAUGGCGUGGCGAGCUGAAUCGUGCGUGAGCUGAGCGCCGUGGGAGCGGAUGCGGGGGACCUGGGCUGGGAGCCCUGGCGGACAAGUGGUGGAAAGGUCCCACCACCAGCUGCUUCCGUGCAGGCCAUCUGUCAGAUCCUCCUCAUUUUUCACAAGAGGAAACUUGCCUGAGGUCAGACUGCGAAACCACCGGUGAUCACACCUACAUCUCGUGACUGGAGGGUCAGAUGGGGGCCGGGCAGGCCAAGUGAAACUGCCUUUCACCGCCUUCUGGCUCCAGACCCACAGACCUGAGUGCAGGGGCCGGAAGAACCAAAGACGGGGAGGUGCUUGCACUUGGGGAGUGGCCGCUGGCGCUCCCAGUGCCGAAAGUUCGUGGCAGAAGGACCCCAGAGGUGUGGGCAUACCCCUUCAGCUUCCAACUCUGCCCCCACCCUGGGGCAGCGGCCCAGCCACUCUCUGCAACGGAGACACCCCGAGGCCUUGUCCAGACAGGCCUCUGCUCAAGUGUCACUUCAGGUUUAAGCUCUGCUCCAGAACCAGGUUUCUGUGCUAAGCGAGGGCAACUUAGAUCCCAAAAUACUAUCAGCUGCGACCUUCGGGCACAAGCAUAUCGACCACCACAAGGAAAAUGGAAUGUGCGAGUCCAGGAGAGUCUGGCCUGCUUCCCUGCAGCCUGGAAUGGCCCACACUACCGAGAUCCUUUGAGGGUCUCCUCUCCGUGGUCUGCCAGCUGGCGUUCGUUGUGUUGUCACCUCAGAAAGCUGACGGGGUCCACUGUGACCCAUGCUGAAGUAAGGUACAAGGGGGCGGGGGGGAGACAACACCGUCCCAGGUUGUCCUGCCUCUGACCUUCAGUCCUAACCCUGUGCUGGGAUCUGGGGCCGAGUCCCUCUGAGUCUCAGACACCUUGUUCAGGAGGCUGCUGAGAGCCUUCCUCACGGCGACUUAUUAAACGCAGCACACUCUCCAAGUGUUAGGUUACUCUAAUUACAUUGUGCACCCGGCCCCCAGCUCCCCAAGACAGCCAGGCUUCUGUGAACAUAAAUUAGCACUUUGAGGAGCACUUCGGCGAUGUCUAAUCUGGGACUGCUGUCAGCCCCUGACAGCGCCGCUUUACUCCUGGGUUGACAUCUUGGAGAAGCAGCACAAGGAGGCAGGCCCCGUGGUGAUCAUUACAACCUGGAGUCUACCCAGUAGCCAUCAGGAGAAGGGAUCGGUUGGGAAGCAGUCACACGGCGUAGCGACACAGGACAGCGGUGGGUCGAGUGAGGAGGGCCGCACGUCAGCACAGAUGAGCCUCAGAAGCAGCACCACGGCGAAAAGCCGGCGGCAUCAGUCCUAACGUGUGAUGCCCGUUAUUCAAGUUCAAAAACACGAACAUGGAGGUGAUGGUUGCCCCACACUGCCAGUGCACUAAAUACCACUGAAUUUUACACUUUGAGAUGGUUGAUUUUAUGUUACGUGACUCCCACCUCAA